Long non-coding RNA from Prionailurus viverrinus (fishing cat), 2117 nucleotides. RefSeq lists it as uncharacterized. The record is from RefSeq and is a predicted model, not a curated record. The transcript has 2 exons. NCBI's taxonomy places the organism in Eukaryota, Metazoa, Chordata, Mammalia, Carnivora, Felidae.
AGGCUGUAGAAGUUUCGAAAUUAUUGUAAAACACCACCCGGAUGUUAUAUUGUCUGUUUAGGCCAGAUUAGCAAGACACACGCGCGUAUUCUACGUUUAAAUCACACCCCGAAAUGCGGAGACGAUGUUUCUAUGGGAUCUACACGCGACAGAGAAAAACUGGAACAAUUAAUUAUUGCUCUCUUUUUUGAUUUCCUGUUUCUAAAGAAAGCAUUGGUAUCAAGGACGAGUUAGGUAAUGUGAACUAAAGAGCAAGCAGGUCGCUGUCGUUUAGACCUAAUCACAAUUCGUAGUUCAAGCAAAACUGCCUCUGACACCGUGUAUAUUCCGCAACUCCUCUCCGGCUGCCCCGGCAAGGACGCCCCCAGGAGUAUUUAUUCCUAGGGCUGGAAACAAAACAACUAACCCGGUCUGCUGCGUAAGAGAGCGCUCCAAGAUGGACUGCCGGAGAAAGGCAUUUUGACCCCGCUGGAAAUUACUCAUAUUGACAGACGCCCAGGGAAGGUAAAUUACCCAGCGCGCUGACGUUACGCAGAAGCGCGCCCUGUUGCGACUCCGCCGCGGCGCCCAGGGGCCAGAGGCUCCUAGUUCGCUCCCCCAGAUUCCAACAAAGCCUCGCUUUGCUUCGCUGGGCCUGGGAUUUCAGCGUGAAGGCGACGGAGAGAGCGGUAAAAAGGGAGUGUUCGGCCUUGCGGCGCACCCCAGCUGCCUGGAGUGCUCCACGUUGCCCCCACGUCCCAGACGCCGUGCCUCUACCCACCGGAUUGCCUUCGGGGCCCCUCGGUGCUGUGUCGACCGCGCGGCGCCGUGGGUCGUGCGAACAGGAACCGCCAGGCCCACCAGAUCUGCGCUCCUAGCAGCCGGGUAGCCUAGCGUGUCGAAGAUGCUCGGAGGAGGAGGAAGUGCAGAGAAAACAGAAGAGGAAGGAAAAGGGGUGGGGGGGGGGGCUGACAUACACAAGCACGCAAAACUGACUUUGCUGAUGGACUUUUUCAGUUUCACACGAAGCGACCUGUAGUAUCUGGAGAAGGUUUUUGAAGACGUUUAGGAGGGAGGGUGAGUUUUCUGCUGAGAAACUCAAUCUGCCAUACAGUAGCGGCCCCAUCUGGGAUCUGUCACUGCUGACAGCACCACAGGGCACAGACGUGAUCUUCUGCACAGCCUGCACUCCCCGAAAUACCCUCCUUAAUCAAAGGAUGUCUGCGCGCCGGAGCUCAGCUGACCGCGCCGGGAGCAGAACGGUCAGCAAAUCCACCCCCCCCCCGGCCCGCCCCCUCCCCACGGACACAACAACGGCCCCUCUCCUCUAACUAGCACAUUAAUUAAAAGCGGAAAGGAGACAGAGGCUGAUGUCAUUGCUCUCAGAAGAUCAUAAACGUAAAAGAGUCAUCCUGUGAGAAUCCCUGAAAAUGACUUUAAUGAAUAAUUUCAGAGACAGUUAUGGCUUUGGGUAAUUACUGAGCGAGAAUAUGAAAACCAGAUUUGCAAAGCAAAGGCGAUGGUCAGGCGGCCCGGCGGCGGCCACUUUCUCCCCUUAAAACCGCACCAGCUUUCUUCUCUGCCAAAUUCUAGUUACAGACUUGGGAUGCAUGUUCGUCUUUAAAAAUAAAAGCAACAAACACGCAUUUUUCUGUUCCUGCAUUUCUUCCUUAUCCUAAAGGCAAACGGGUCAGCUCAAGGCAACCACAACCCACUUUGGGUAGAAGCCAACCAGGCACUGGCCUCAGUGGCCAUGGGCUUCCAUCUUUUCAGGAAGGAGCUAUUAACCACCACUUUGGUUUAGAAUGAUUUUUUUGGUGGGGGGGCUCUUCCGUAGGUGACUUACAAUAAAAGUUGAAAACUCUGCCCCGAGUAAAUAAAAAACCUGUUUGUUUCAAAUCCUGUCAGCUGUUGGAGCAGCAAACAAGUGAACAGCGAAUGACCCCACUUCUUACAGAAAAAUCUGCAGGUCUCCCUAAGUCUAGUUCUUGUUUGCCAUGAUGAUUUCGUUCUACAAUAAGGAAUGAUGUUUUGAAACACUCCAUCUGGUCACUGGGAUGCAUCAGGCUGGGCUUGGUUGUUCAUGAUGAGUUGUGUGCAAGAAAGUAUUAAUAAAAAGGUAUUAUAGGCAAAAGUAA